UUUCCGUAGGUGAACCUGCGGAAGGAUCAUUAACGAGUUAGGGUCUCUCUGGCCCGACCUCCCAACCCUUUGUCUACUUGACCAUCGUUGCUUCGGCGAGCCCGUCCUCACGGACCGCCGGAGGGAUCUUUACUGGCCCUCUGGUCCGCGCUCGUCGGUAGCCCAACCUUUAAAAUCUUUAACUAAACGUGCCUUAAUCCAAGUACAAUUAUUAAAUAAAAGCAAAACUUUCAACAACGGAUCUCUUGGUUCUGACAUCGAUGAAGAACGCAGC
RNAcentral lists this unclassified non-coding RNA (274 nucleotides) under plant metagenome. Its description in RNAcentral is "partial contains small subunit ribosomal RNA, internal transcribed spacer 1, and 5.8S ribosomal RNA". The stretch from base 226 to 274 matches the Rfam family "5.8S ribosomal RNA", at positions 1 to 49 of the family's 154-position model. The record is from RNAcentral.